GGGAGGGCAGACUCUGGGCGCCACUCCCGGGCCGGUCAUGAACGGGCCGGCGGACGGCGAAGUGGACUACAAAAAAAAAUACCGGAAUCUGAAGCGGAAGCUCAAGUUCCUCAUCUACGAGCACGAGUGCUUCCAGGAGGAGCUGAGGAAAGCGCAAAGGAAAUUACUGAAGGUGUCCCGGGACAAGAGUUUCCUCCUAGACCGACUUCUGCAGUACGAGAACGUGGAUGAAGACUCUUCGGACUCAGAUGCCACUGCAUCAUCAGAUAACAGCGAGACAGAGGGGACACCCAAGUUGUCUGACACACCGGCCCCUAAGAGGAAGAGAAGCCCUCCGCUGGGGGGCACCCCCUCUCCCUCCAGCCUCUCCCUGCCUCCUUCAACAGGGUUUCCCCUUCAGGCCUCCGGGGUCCCCUCCCCAUACCUGAGCUCGGAACGGGGCCAGGCCUGACAGAGGAGAGCAAAGCCCAGGACAGCAUCCUGCUGCUGCCCGGCCCUUCUGUGCUCGGGAGCCCCGGGAGCCGCACUCAUCACCAUCUCUUUUGUUUUUCCAUCCUCCUUCUGUUUGCAUUUCUUCCCCCACCCUCACCCCGGUCCAUUCCACCUCCCAUCUCCAUCCCCGCUCCCGCCCGCAGCUGGCCUCCCCCCGCUACCCCCCAUUCCCUUCUGACUACCUGGCCCUGCAGCUGCCCGAGCCCAGUCCCCUGAGGCCCAAGCGGGAGAAACGGCCCCGCCUGCCCCGGAAACUCAAGGUACCCUGACGUGGGGGUGCUAGGGAGGGGCAGGACGGCAGGAGGACAGUCACCUGAGGGAGGCUGAAGGCGGGGGCCUGUCAGAGAACCAUGAACAGUUAAUUUGGGGACCCAGUCGGCACUUAGCACUGAGGGGUGGAUCACAGAAGUCUCGGCUUACAGGCUUGUAUGGAGACAAAUCAGGGCAGAACCAGCCUUGGGGGACCCGGUGUGCGGAUGCCAGGGAUCCCGCCCUUUCAUGGCUGCAGUGUAGCGGGGCCAGGCUCAUUUUCCCAGGGGGGCGUGUUCUGUGAUGCCAGGUAGCCCCAGACCGGGUCAGGAUUAUGGGAUCUAGAGUCAAGUCAAGACUGCGUGUUAGAAACCACGUGGCCUUGAGCAGGUCUCUGCUACCCUCUAGGCCUCCUAGGCUUGGCACCUAUAGGGUGAGUGGUCCUACUCGAUGUGACCAGCAAGCGCCCCUGGAGCGCCUCCUGUUACACGGCAGUGCACAAAGCAGACCAGUGCCUGCCCUCACAGAGCUCACAGUCUAGCAAGAUAGGCAGAAAACACACCAGAAAAGUAGGUACUUGUGGAAAAGAACAGAGUGAGGUCCAGAGCAUGGGGACGCCAGGGGGACGAGGCUGACACUUAGGGCCCAGCAGUCUGGGAUGUUCUUUGAUCAGAGACUUACAGGAAAUGGCAGCAAGCCGUGUGGCUCCUGGGCAGUGUUUCUGUCGGGCAGAGUCUGUGUUUGGGAGAAAAGUAAGCAGGGAAUUGGGUCCCGGAGCAGGUCAGAGGGGGAGCUCCUGAGGUGCCAGUGUGCAGGAUUCGCUGUGAAUGAAGCCUUGGAGACAGCAGUUCCCUGGCGGGGCGCAGGUUGCAGGUGUGGAGGGGGAGUGAUCUAAUUGCAUCUUAACAAAAUUGCAGACACUGGUGGUCAGAGAACAGAUUGAGCGGUGGAGUGAGUUGGGACGGGAGUGAGGAGGCCACCACGGUAAACCAGGCCAAGGGCAGAGGGUCCAGAGGGAGCUGCGGACCCAUUUCAGAGAAUGAGCAUGGGAGUUCCUGGAGGACCUGGUGUGGUCUGUGCGGGAGAGAGGCCAGGAUGCCUCCAGGGCUUUAGUCUGAGCACGAGUGGAGUCUCCCUCCCUGGAGAUGGGAGGGCUGUGGGACCACAGGCUUGGAGGAAAGCUGAGUCUGGCCGCGGAUGUGUCAGGUGCCAUCUGGAAAGGCAGCUAGAUAGCGGCCCGUGAGGGGCUGCGCAUUUGGAAGCCGCCAGGCUGGCGGUAGAUGCAAGCCUUGGGAGAGAUGGGGAUGGGCUGAGGGGCAGAGCGGAGUGGGGACCAACUGGGCGGCUCCCAGGGUUCUGGAGCCAGAAGCAGAAUGAGAGGCCGCAUUUGCGGUGGUCUGGAGUACAGGAUCUGGAGCUCUAAUCCCAACUCUGCCAUUUUCUCCGUGUGACCUUGGCCCUGUCAGGCUUCACCUCUUGAGCCUGAGAAGCAGAGGGGAGCGGGAGUCCCUGAAGGGUCAGGGGAGUGAGGAGAUGGAAGGAAGGGAGUCCAAGCAGAGGAAGGAUAGCUGUGAAGACAGAAGCAGUGGCGGCAUUGUGCGGAGAAUGUGAGUGAAGGGAUGAAAAUCGCUCGGCCCGUGCCUGGCCCCUAGUCUGUGUUUUAGAGCGCGCGCUCUGGCUGCCGUGCGGAGGAGCUGGAUCUGGGAGAGGCUGCGGGCAGGGAGUCCAGUUAGGAGGCUGGGACCGCAGCCCAGAUGGCGGUGGGACCCCCCGACUGCCCUGUGGGAGGGCCGCUGACCUUCCCUGGCCGGGGUUCUGGGGCUGGGGUCGGGACAACCCUGACCCCCCUCCCACCCCCCAAGAUGCCCCCCCCACGAUCCUGAGCACGGUCCCUCGGCAGAUGUUCAGCGAUGCAGGUAGCGGGGACGAUGCCUUGGAUGGAGACGAUGACCUGGUGAUCGACAUCCCGGAGUGACCGUGACAUCACGCCAUGCCCACCACGGCCCCGCCCGGCGCCCUCCCCGUGCCAGCACACACGAGUCCAGCUUCCUUGGAGGUGUUUAUUGAUGCCCAGCUGCCAUGCUCCGGCCACUGACACAACCAGAAAAGGCGUAAACAUGCACGGGUGUCCCCCAGGAGGGUGGCAGGGGCCCUGCCUUCAAACCCCGGCCCCCUCCAGGGGACAGUUAUUUAAACGAGUGGCCGGGAGCAUCUGCCACCUGCUGGGGAGGCAGAGACCCUGCAAUGGCCACCUCUUUAAAAGGGCAGCUGUACAGGGCUGUUUUUUCAAUGAAGUUUCUGUAUUAAAGGAGUGGCUCUGG
Molecule: small RNA, 3062 nt
Filed under: Pan troglodytes (chimpanzee)
Lineage: Eukaryota; Metazoa; Chordata; Mammalia; Primates; Hominidae
Description: retained intron
Source: RNAcentral